AAAGCAGGUCGCCUUAUCGCGCUUUUUAGUGAGGAAAGUCCGGACACCAAAGCACAGCGUAGCGGGUAACGCCCGUCAUUUGUUUUAAUGACAAAUCGGACAAGUGCAACAGAAAGAAUGUACAGGUUAAGCUGUAGUGAAAUCAGGUAAACUCUACGCGGUGAAAUACCAAGUAAACCAAGGCUCGAGGCUUGUGCGGCCAAUCUUGGAGGGUUGGUAGAUUAGAUUUUAAUAGUAAUAUUAAAACCAGAUAAAUGAUAAGGCGUUAACUGAGGUUAACGACAGAAUCCGGCUUACAGACCUGCUUUUUUA
RNAcentral lists this RNase P RNA (312 nucleotides) under Psychroflexus salarius. Its description in RNAcentral is "Bacterial RNase P class A". It matches the Rfam family "Bacterial RNase P class A". From Rfam's summary of the family: Ribonuclease P (RNase P) is a ubiquitous endoribonuclease, found in archaea, bacteria and eukarya as well as chloroplasts and mitochondria. Its best characterised activity is the generation of mature 5'-ends of tRNAs by cleaving the 5'-leader elements of precursor-tRNAs. Lineage: Bacteria; Pseudomonadati; Bacteroidota; Flavobacteriia; Flavobacteriales; Flavobacteriaceae. The record is from Rfam by way of RNAcentral.